This is a long non-coding RNA of Lactuca sativa (garden lettuce), 751 nucleotides long. RefSeq lists it as uncharacterized. NCBI's taxonomy places the organism in Eukaryota, Viridiplantae, Streptophyta, Magnoliopsida, Asterales, Asteraceae. The record is from RefSeq and is a predicted model, not a curated record.
UAAGAUUCCAAUUCCUUCUUAUUCCAUAAACCAAACACACCAAGGAUGUCUCUGAACAGCAGUUGAUCUUAUAAAAUACCUCUGAAUUGAAUAAUUACCUCUUAAAAAAUCAGACAUCAACCCACAUCCGAAUUAAAAAAAGACGCUUGUGCCCAAGAAAAAACCACGCCUCUUUUCCUUUCUUUAUCGUAAGCGCCUCCAAUUCCUUUUGUUCUCAUCAGACAUCGGCGCCACUUCUUUCUUCCACCCCUCCUCCUCCAUCUUCGAUCUCGUCUGCCAUCGCCGCUUUCCCUGUGUCGCCUUCGCUUUGGGCUUCGACAGCUCCACCUCCGGUAUCUUCUGCAGAUGAAGGUACAUGAGUUCACUCAUUGAAGCUCUUAUGCACACCAACUGUUUGUGAAAAAUCCUGUGAGGUUCAUCAAUGUAUGUUCUGUGAAAAUCCCAGACAGAAAAUGCCCUCAUCUUUGACCUCCAAUGGUCUUACAACAAAAAACCAAGUCCAUAAAUCACAAGCAUUAUCAUUGGCACACAUAUGGAAUAGACCAUUUGGUGAAGAAUAAAAAGAUGACAACAUCAGUUGACUUUGAGAUUGUACACCUUCAAAGGACACACUUUUACAUAAUGUCUUUUUAAUCAAAUCAUAAAUGCCCAUCGAUAAUUUUGAUGUGUAUGAAAUAAAUCUUUGGUUCAGAAAUUCAGACAUUUGGGUUAAAGACACAUGAGAUUGGUGGUGGUGUUUUUUUUCCAUGGA